UACAUAGGGUGCAAGCGUUAAUCGGAAUUACUGGGCGUAAAGCGUGCGCAGGCGGUUUUGUAAGUCAGAUGUGAAAUCCCCGGGCUUAACCUGGGAACUGCGUUUGAAACUACAAGGCUAGAGUGUGGCAGAGGGGGGUGGAAUUCCACGUGUAGCAGUGAAAUGCGUAGAGAUGUGGAGGAACACCGAUGGCGAAGGCAGCCCCCUGGGUUAACACUGACGCUCAGGCACGAAAGCGUGGGGAUCAAACAGG
This 253-nucleotide ribosomal RNA is filed under the name uncultured bacterium. RNAcentral describes it as "partial 16S ribosomal RNA". It matches the Rfam family "Bacterial small subunit ribosomal RNA", at positions 524 to 776 of the family's 1533-position model. The record is from RNAcentral.